GUGGCCCCUCCUCUUCUUCUUUCUCCUAUCUUCUUUUCUCUCCUUUUUCCUAUUUUUCAUGGGUAUCGGACAGGUAGGGGGCUGGAGCCCCUCACUGGAUCCGCCCUGAACACACCGUGUUAUAUCCUCAUCCUGGGACACAUGCAUGUUUUUUAAAUUAGGGACCUUUGUAUAUACAUGUGAAAUGAGAUAAAAAAAAUUAUAUACCUUCAAUUUUUUUGUCCAACCGUUGAUCACCGUGGGUAUUUAGACAUGCAUUUAAUUUAGUUAUUGACAAGGAUAUUUUAGACUUCUAAUUUAAUCCUUUGGUACAGAAGGGUAUCACUCAACUUUUCUUGACCCAGUAUCGAUACUCCUCGCUGGUUGAACGUCUGGUGGCGCCGCUGCCUGCUCGCCAUUCCCUUCCACAACUCAGCAAAAAGCACUAAAUAAUAUUGACUCGCAUGUAAACCAGAUUGUUUCAGAAUCUCCUGCCUUACAUCGGUACAAUUGGAAGGGUCCUAUUUUCUCGGACACUAAUGUCACUAUCGUUUCGCUUCUGCUUAUACCUAUAAACCAAAAGUUAAAUUUUUAACCUUAAAUUUAGAGUUGAUUUUAGAGUUUUUUAGCUGUAGUUUAUUUUCUAGCCUUGACUUUUAAAUCGCUAAAAAUAUAUAUAUAAAAAUUUUAUUCAUAAAUUAUUUUUCAUUUGCAAAUAUGUCGUUUGACUUUUUCUAUGAAGAAAACUAAACAAGCAAUGUUCCCAUCCACAACUAGGCCAUGAUAAACCUAUCAACCGAAACUAGAUGGAUCUACAUCCCUCAGAUGAAAAGGAUACUCCCAUCCCUCGGAUGAAAAGAGAUGGAUGACUUAUAGCUAUUAGAAGGUAAAUCAUGC
Molecule: long non-coding RNA, 876 nt
Filed under: Oryza brachyantha (malo sina)
Lineage: Eukaryota; Viridiplantae; Streptophyta; Magnoliopsida; Poales; Poaceae
Description: long non-coding RNA (OBRA_LNC001964)
Source: RNAcentral